RNAcentral lists this transfer RNA (69 nucleotides) under Marmota monax (woodchuck). It matches the Rfam family "tRNA". Rfam says of the family: Transfer RNA (tRNA) molecules are approximately 80 nucleotides in length. Their secondary structure includes four short double-helical elements and three loops (D, anti-codon, and T loops). The record is from Rfam by way of RNAcentral. Lineage: Eukaryota; Metazoa; Chordata; Mammalia; Rodentia; Sciuridae.
GGUAUUGUUGCCCAGUGGUAGAGCACUCACCUAGCAUGUGUGAGGCCCUGGGUUCGAUCCUCAGCACCU